This 1014-nucleotide long non-coding RNA is filed under the name Bos mutus (wild yak). RNAcentral's name for it is "lncRNA (ENSBMUG00000006099.1)". The record is from RNAcentral. Lineage: Eukaryota; Metazoa; Chordata; Mammalia; Artiodactyla; Bovidae.
CAAUGUAUGGGCUUGAAAAUGGAGGGGAGGAGCUGUUAAGAUUUGCUUCGCCGGGCUGUAAGGAAGACCGGGAAGCAAACCGUGAGUGUGUGAAAUUGAUGGCUUGCGCGAUACUGGUGAGCCACUCCCACUGUCCUUUGUCAUCCUGCUUCUCUCUUGAGACCUUUCCUUGUCUUUAGGCGCCCUCUCCCCGCUCCAGAGCCCAGCACUUUGCUCUCUCUUGAACAUUUACGGUGUGCUAACUGCUAACAGCUGCUUUCCCUUCACUCACAACCCCAAGGCCCCCAGACCCGCACCUCCACCCACCCGGAGCAUCUUCCCAUGGCUCUGUGUCUUCACCCCUGCAGGGCCUGCACAGAGACCCGGCCGCACUCUUCCCACGGGAGGCCUUUCCAUCCUCACCGUCUCCGUCAGGCCCCGAGCCCUGCGUGUGUUUUCUCUCUGUAAUGCUCCCUGGUGCUCUAUGGUGUGUGUACCACAUGCUCAUCACUGCUGGGGGCUGGGCUCUCCCUGUUGCCCCCGUUCUGCCCGCAGCUGGACGAGGCAGCCGCCCUCUCACUCAUCACAGGUGGAAACCCAAGUCGGAGCCUGCAGGUUCCUGACCACCCAGCAGUGGGGGCUGGGCUCACCUUCGAUCCUGACUCUUGCCCCAGCACUUUCUGCUCAGGGCUGCCCACUUGGGACUUCUGAUAAAGGAAGAGAAUGAAGGAGGCCGAGGGAGCAGACCCAGCUCUGAGGAAGCAGACACCCAGUGAAUCCUAAAAGGAAUCAACCCUGAUUACUCAUUGGAAGGACUGACUGAUGCUGUAGAUGAAGCUUUGAUACUUUGGCCACCUGGUACAAAGAGCCGACUCAUUGGAAAAGUCCCUGAUGCUGGGAAAGAUUGAAGGCAGGAGGAGAAGGGGAUGACAGAGGACAAGAUGGUUGGAUGUCAUCACUGACUCAAUGGAAAUGAGUUUGAGCAGGCUCUGGGAGCUGGUGAUAAACAGGGAGGCCUGGCGUGCUGCAUUCCAU